This is a long non-coding RNA of Prionailurus viverrinus (fishing cat), 457 nucleotides long. RefSeq lists it as uncharacterized. The transcript is spliced from 4 exons. Lineage: Eukaryota; Metazoa; Chordata; Mammalia; Carnivora; Felidae. The record is from RefSeq and is a predicted model, not a curated record.
AGAAGAAGUCCUGUUAAUAGCAGAACAAUAAAGUGAAGAGUCACAGGUUUCUGUUCCUGAGAAUCAUCCUCAUUCAAAAUAAAUCACUGAUAUUUUAUUCUACUUGUUUAACACAUGGCUCCAUGUUACUACCUCAGUGAACACCCAGUAUCAAGCCUUGACUGACAAGUCUGUAAAACCAAGCCGACAUGCUGGAUUCUAUGGCAUGUAAGACUGAUAAGACCACUUCUGUUUACAGAGAGCUUACAAUCAAUAUAGAAAAAAAAGUUAUGCCCAAAGAAAUUUUAAUUAAAGGAAGAAGUUACCACUGCUUGGCUGACAUAAGAUUCUUUUCAUGGAUGUUCCUGAUUUACCAUUCCAAUCAUCUCUCUUCAGUCUCCUAGAUUAAGAUGUACUCUUAGCAAAAUCAGUCCUUUACUAAAUCUGAAGUUCGUUUUGUUCUUUUCCGCCUUCACGC